RNAcentral lists this ribosomal RNA (367 nucleotides) under uncultured organism. RNAcentral's name for it is "bacterial SSU rRNA". It matches the Rfam family "Bacterial small subunit ribosomal RNA", at positions 527 to 896 of the family's 1533-position model. The record is from RNAcentral.
CGGAGGUGCAAGCGUUAUCCGGAUUCACUGGGUUUAAAGGGUGUGUAGGCGGGUAUUUAAGUCAGUGGUGAAAUCCUACAGCUUAACUGUAGAACUGCCAUUGAUACUAUUUAUCUUGAAUAUUGUUGAGGUAGGCGGAAUACAUCAUGUAGCGGUGAAAUGCUUAGAUAUGAUGUAGAACACCGAUUGCGAAGGCAGCUUACUAAGCAAAUAUUGACGCUGAGGCACGAAAGCGUGGGGAUCAAACAGGAUUAGAUACCCUGGUAGUCCACGCCCUAAACGAUGAUUACUCGACGUGCGCGAUAUACAGUGCGCGUCUGAGCGAAAGCAUUAAGUAAUCCACCUGGGAAGUACGUCCGCAAGGAUG